UGGCGGACGGGUGAGUAAUGUCUGGGAAACUGCCUGAUGGAGGGGGAUAACUACUGGAAACGGUAGCUAAUACCGCAUAACGUCGCAAGACCAAAGAGGGGGACCUUCGGGCCUCUUGCCAUCGGAUAUGCCCAGAUGGGAUUAGCUAGUAGGUGGGGUAACGGCUCACCUAGGCGACGAUCCCUAGCUGGUCUGAGAGGAUGACCAGCCACACUGGAACUGAGACACGGUCCAG
RNAcentral lists this ribosomal RNA (235 nucleotides) under uncultured bacterium. RNAcentral's name for it is "partial 16S ribosomal RNA". It matches the Rfam family "Bacterial small subunit ribosomal RNA", at positions 96 to 334 of the family's 1533-position model. The record is from RNAcentral.